Long non-coding RNA from Musca domestica (house fly), 1168 nucleotides. RefSeq lists it as uncharacterized. Lineage: Eukaryota; Metazoa; Arthropoda; Insecta; Diptera; Muscidae. The record is from RefSeq and is a predicted model, not a curated record. The transcript has 13 exons.
AUGUAUGUACUUAGAUUUGUAUUGAAAGUAUCCGUGAUGAUAAAUAAUCUUUCGCCCCUAACUGAAAGUUUUGGAAACUUCUUAUGUUGAAUGCGAAUUGGUCUUACUGAAGAAAACAUAAUUUCAAUGCAUAAAACGUGCCCGGAAAAUUAUAAGAAUAUUAAAAGAUUUUCUUUUUAUUUAUUACAGGGGUCAAACAUUGCUUAGUAAUUUUUGGAUUGAAGGAUAAUUAACAGAAAGAUACUGAAAUCAGGAAAUAUAUGGUGCAUUUGAACAGACAAAGACGACCCGAGAAAGGUCAAACAUUGCUUAGUAAUUUUUGGAUUGCAGGAAGAUUAACAGAAAGAUGCUGAAAGCAGGAAAUAUAUGGUGCAUUUGAACAGACAAAGACGAUCCGGAGAAAGGUCAAACAUUGCUUAGUAAUUUUUGGAUUGCAGAAAGAUUAACAGAAAGAUGUUGAAAGCUGGAAAUAUAUGGUGAAUUCGAACAGACAAAGCCGACCCGGAGAAAGGUCAAAUACUGCUUAGUAUUUUCUGGAUUGCAGGAAGAUUAACGGAAAGAUGUUGAAAGCUGGAAAUGUAUGGUGAAUUCGAACAGACAAAGCCGACCCGAAGAAAGGCAUUUGGACAAUUUGAAUCCCUGCUAUUUUACUCUGGUUAGACUCCACGACUGCUCUGAAUGAUUUGUCGGAAUGACUUGAUGACCUUUAAAACUGAACAAUAAAAAAGGUCAUUAUCUCAUUAAUUUAAAAAAAUGGCAGGGAGUGGAAAUUUCGGAUCAUUUUUGGUAAUGCAGAAACCAAACUAAUUAUCUACAGCUUAAAGAAAAGAGAAUGAUUUGCAUCGGAAAAUCUAUGUUCAAGGAGAACAUGGAGUUACGCACUUAAAAGGUAAUUUGAAAUUUCUCUUUUCAUUUUCAUUCAUUCUUCAGGAGUUGCACACAGAAAGAAAAGGCAGAAUAAAUUCAGUUUAUAUUUUUGUUGAAUUUUCUUUCCCUGUGUGAUAUUUGAACAUGAUGAAAAAGGGACUCUGACUAUGUGGCAUGAUCACAUAAAUCCGCAACAACAACAACCCUAAAAAAUAGGUCCUACUGACAUUAAAAGCUCAAAAAUUUUCUUCGAUCAUUUAAUUCCGAAUUACAAUUAAUUUUGUUCUAUUUUCUUUCUCGU